UACGGAGGGAGCUAGCGUUGUUCGGAAUUACUGGGCGUAAAGCGCACGUAGGCGGCUAUUCAAGUAAGAGGUGAAAGCCCGGGGCUCAACCCCGGAACUGCCUUUGAAACUAGAUAGCUAGAAUCUUGGAGAGGUCAGUGGAAUUCCGAGUGUAGAGGUGAAAUUCGUAGAUAUUCGGAAGAACACCAGUGGCGAAGGCGACUGACUGGACAAGUAUUGACGCUGAGGUGCGAAAGCGUGGGGAGCAAACAGG
Molecule: ribosomal RNA, 253 nt
Filed under: uncultured bacterium
Lineage: Bacteria
Description: partial 16S ribosomal RNA
Rfam family: Bacterial small subunit ribosomal RNA
Source: RNAcentral